RNAcentral lists this ribosomal RNA (507 nucleotides) under uncultured Glomeraceae. RNAcentral's name for it is "SSU rRNA". It matches the Rfam family "Eukaryotic small subunit ribosomal RNA", at positions 569 to 1078 of the family's 1831-position model. Lineage: Eukaryota; Fungi; Glomeromycota; Glomeromycetes; Glomerales; Glomeraceae. The record is from RNAcentral.
AGCAGCCGCGGUAAUUCCAGCUCCAAUAGCGUAUAUUAAAGUUGUUGCAGUUAAAAAGCUCGUAGUUGAAUUUCGGGAUUAAUGCGUCGGUCGUGCCUUCGGUACGUACUAGCGUCAUUGAUUCCUCCCUUCUGAAGAACCGUGAUGUCAUUAAUUUGGUGUUACGGGGAAUCAGGACUGUUACCUUGAAAAAAUUAGAGUGUUUAAAGCAGGCUAACGCCUGAAUACAUUAGCAUGGAAUAAUGAAAUAGGACGUCCGAACCUAUUUUGUUGGUUUCUAGGAUCGACGUAAUGAUUAAUAGGGAUAGUUGGGGGCAUUAGUAUUCAAUUGUCAGAGGUGAAAUUCUUGGAUUUAUUGAAGACUGACUACUGCGAAAGCAUUUGCCAAGGAUGUUUUCAUUAAUCAAGAACGAAAGUUAGGGGAUCGAAGACGAUCAGAUACCGUCGUAGUCUUAACCAUAAACUAUGCCGACUAGGGAUCGGAUGAUGUAAUUUUAUAAUGACUCA